UACAGGGGGGGGCAAGCGUUGUUCGGAAUUACUGGGCGUAAAGGGCCAGUAGGCGGCCAACUAAGUCACACGUGAAAUCCCCGGGCUUAACCCGGGAACUGCGUGUGAUACUGGAUGGCUUGAAUUCGGGAGAGGGAUGCAGAAUUCCAGGUGUAGCGGUGAAAUGCGUAGAUAUCUGGAGGAAUACCGGUGGCGAAGGCGGCAUCCUGGACCGACAUUGACGCUGAACGGCGAAAGCUAGGGGAGCAAACGGG
This 254-nucleotide ribosomal RNA is filed under the name uncultured bacterium. RNAcentral's name for it is "partial 16S ribosomal RNA". It matches the Rfam family "Bacterial small subunit ribosomal RNA", at positions 524 to 776 of the family's 1533-position model. The record is from RNAcentral.